UAAACUUCACCAACUUAUUUGCCCUUGUUAUUCAUUGUGUCAUUCGUUCAAAUUUUCAGUAGUAAGAGCAGGUUCAAUAAAUUUGGCUAUUAGCCAAGUCAUGUCAUUUGGAGCCUAACCUUAUAGACAAUGCAUACAGUAGUUAGGAGAAGUCUACAUAGCCUCCAACCUACAACUCCAAAACUGAGUUUUGUUUCCCUCUUCC
Molecule: long non-coding RNA, 205 nt
Filed under: Setaria viridis
Lineage: Eukaryota; Viridiplantae; Streptophyta; Magnoliopsida; Poales; Poaceae
Description: long non-coding RNA (SVIR_LNC002516)
Source: RNAcentral